Molecule: ribosomal RNA, 465 nt
Filed under: Vreelandella stevensii
Lineage: Bacteria; Pseudomonadati; Pseudomonadota; Gammaproteobacteria; Oceanospirillales; Halomonadaceae
Description: partial 16S ribosomal RNA
Rfam family: Bacterial small subunit ribosomal RNA
Source: RNAcentral
CCUACGGGUGGCUGCAGUGGGGAAUAUUGGACAAUGGGGGGAACCCUGAUCCAGCCAUGCCGCGUGUGUGAAGAAGACCCUCGGGUUGUAAAGCACUUUCAGUGAGGAAGAACGCCUGGUGGUUAAUACCCAUCAGGAAAGACAUCACUCACAGAAGAAGCACCGGCUAACUCCGUGCCAGCAGCCGCGGUAAUACGGAGGGUGCGAGCGUUAAUCGGAAUUACUGGGCGUAAAGCGCGCGUAGGUGGCUUGAUAAGCCGGUUGUGAAAGCCCCGGGCUCAACCUGGGAACGGCAUCCGGAACUGUCAAGCUAGAGUGCAGGAGAGGAAGGUAGAAUUCCCGGUGUAGCGGUGAAAUGCGUAGAGAUCGGGAGGAAUACCAGUGGCGAAGGCGGCCUUCUGGACUGACACUGACACUGAGGUGCGAAAGCGUGGGUAGCAAACAGGAUUAGAUACCCCAGUAGUC